Molecule: ribosomal RNA, 478 nt
Filed under: uncultured bacterium
Lineage: Bacteria
Description: partial 16S ribosomal RNA
Rfam family: Bacterial small subunit ribosomal RNA
Source: RNAcentral
GAUGAACGCUGGCGGCGUGCUUAACACAUGCAAGUCGAACGGGAAUUAUUUUAUUGAAACUUCGGUCGAUUUAAUUUAAUUCUAGUGGCGGACGGGUGAGUAACGCGUGGGUAACCUGCCUUAUACAGGGGGAUAACAGUCAGAAAUGGCUGCUAAUACCGCAUAAGCGCACAGAGCUGCAUGGCUCAGUGUGAAAAACUCCGGUGGUAUAAGAUGGACCCGCGUUGGAUUAGCUUGUUGGCAGGGUAACGGCCUACCAAGGCGACGAUCCAUAGCCGGCCUGAGAGGGUGAACGGCCACAUUGGGACUGAGACACGGCCCAGACUACUACGGGAGGCAGCAGUGGGGAAUAUUGCAAAAUGGGGGAAGCCCUGAUGCAGCGACGCCGCGUGAAGGAAGAAGUAUCUCGGUAUGUAAACUUCUAUCAGCAGGGAAGAUAGUGACGGUACCUGACGAAGAAGCCCCGGCUAACUACGUG